This is a non-coding RNA of Clostridium botulinum D str. 1873, 117 nucleotides long. Lineage: Bacteria; Bacillati; Bacillota; Clostridia; Eubacteriales; Clostridiaceae. The record is from Rfam.
AUAAUCUUUAAUGUGGUCCAGAGAGGCCGACAAGAUUAGUAGUUAAGUGUAUAGAAUAUAUUUACAAUUUAUUGUGAUAACUAUAACUUCUUGUCGGUGGACAAGAAGUUUUUUAUU